Molecule: ribosomal RNA, 253 nt
Filed under: uncultured bacterium
Lineage: Bacteria
Description: partial 16S ribosomal RNA
Rfam family: Bacterial small subunit ribosomal RNA
Source: RNAcentral
UACGUAGGGGGCAAGCGUUGUCCGGAUUCAUUGGGCGUAAAGAGCGUGUAGGCGGCCAGGUAGGUCUGCUGUGAAAACUCGAGGCUUAACCUCGAGAUGUCGGCGGAAACCAUCUGGCUAGAGUCCGGAAGAGGAGAAUGGAAUUCCCGGUGUAGCGGUGAAAUGCGCAGAUAUCGGGAAGAACACCCGUGGCGAAGGCGGUUCUCUGGGACGGUACUGACGCUGAGACGCGAAAGCGUGGGGAGCGAACAGG